AGUGAACGCUGGCGGUAGGCCUAACACAUGCAAGUCGAACGGCAGCACAGUAAGAGCUUGCUCUUACGGGUGGCGAGUGGCGGACGGGUGAGGAAUACAUCGGAAUCUACUUUUUCGUGGGGGAUAACGUAGGGAAACUUACGCUAAUACCGCAUACGACCUACGGGUGAAAGCAGGGGAUCUUCGGACCUUGCGCGAUUGAAUGAGCCGAUGUCGGAUUAGCUAGUUGGCGGGGUAAAGGCCCACCAAGGCGACGAUCCGUAGCUGGUCUGAGAGGAUGGUCAGCCACACUGGAACUGAGACACGGUCCAGACUCCUACGGGAUGCAGCAGUGGGGAAUAUUGGACAAUGGGCGCAAGCCUGAUCCAGCCAUACCGCGUGGGUGAAGAAGGCCUUCGGGUUGUAAAGCCCUUUUGUUGGGAAAGAAAAGCAGCAGGUUAAUACCCCGCUGUUCUGACGGUACCCAAAGAAUAAGCACCGGCUAACUUCGUG
This 492-nucleotide ribosomal RNA is filed under the name uncultured bacterium. RNAcentral's name for it is "partial 16S ribosomal RNA". It matches the Rfam family "Bacterial small subunit ribosomal RNA", at positions 29 to 507 of the family's 1533-position model. The record is from RNAcentral.